RNAcentral lists this unclassified non-coding RNA (243 nucleotides) under Ascomycota sp. RNAcentral describes it as "partial contains small subunit ribosomal RNA, internal transcribed spacer 1, and 5.8S ribosomal RNA". The stretch from base 1 to 47 matches the Rfam family "Eukaryotic small subunit ribosomal RNA", at positions 1785 to 1831 of the family's 1831-position model. Lineage: Eukaryota; Fungi; Ascomycota. The record is from RNAcentral.
AAAGUCGUAACAAGGUCUCCGUUGGUGAACCAGCGGAGGGAUCAUUACCGAGUUGCAAAACUCCCAAACCAUCGCGAACGUUACCCGUAACCGUUGCUUCGGUGGGCGGCUCCAGGGCGGAGCCUCCAGCCCUUCGCGGGGCGCCCGCCGGAGGACACAUAUCAAACCCUUAUCAUAAUGGAUAUCUCUGAGUAUAAAAUUUAUAAUAAGUAAAAACUUUCAACAACGGAUCUCUUGGUUCUG